GUGUCAGCCGCCGCGGUAAUACGUAGGGGGCCAGCGUUGUCCGGAAUCAUUGGGCGUAAAGAGCGUGUAGGCGGCCAUGUAGGUCCGAUGUGAAAACUCGAGGCUCAACCUCGAGCUGUCAUUGGAAACCAUGUGGCUAGAGUCCGGAAGAGGAGAGUGGAAUUCCUGGUGUAGCGGUGAAAUGCGCAGAUAUCAGGAAGAACACCUAUGGCGAAGGCAGCUCUCUGGGACGGUACUGACGCUGAGACGCGAAAGCGUGGGGAGCGAACAGGAUUAGAAACCCUGGUAGUCC
RNAcentral lists this ribosomal RNA (292 nucleotides) under uncultured bacterium. RNAcentral's name for it is "partial 16S ribosomal RNA". It matches the Rfam family "Bacterial small subunit ribosomal RNA", at positions 505 to 796 of the family's 1533-position model. The record is from RNAcentral.